RNAcentral lists this long non-coding RNA (463 nucleotides) under Mytilus galloprovincialis (Mediterranean mussel). Lineage: Eukaryota; Metazoa; Mollusca; Bivalvia; Mytilida; Mytilidae. The record is from RNAcentral.
UUUCUAUGGAACGCCAUGACUGCCUUAUGUUAAUGAUCAGCACCAUUAUAUGCAGUGCUCACACCAUUAUAUGCAGUGCUCACACCAUUAUAUUCAGUGCUCACAACAUUAUAUUAAGUGCUCACAACAUUAUACGCAGUGGUCCAAACAUUAUAUGCAGUGGUCACAACAUUAUAUGAAGUGGUCAAAACAUUAUAUGAAGUGCUCACAACAUUAUAUGAAGUGCUCACAACAUUAUACGUUUUUUGUUGUAUGAUGAGAUUGAUGUAUGAUGAGAUUGAUGUAUGAUGAGAUCAUUCGGUAAACUUCGUUUUUUUAGCGGAAAUUACCGAAUCCAUAAUUGGUAAAUUACGGUAAUGCCCAGCAAACAAAUUUAAACAGUUAUUAAAGUCAUGUUAUCAUAAGGCAGUAUACAAUAUUUAAAACUGAUUGAAAUAAGUAAGGAAAAGAUGAAACUAAGAGG